UCUCCGUUCCCUUCCCCUGACAGUUUGGGUGUCGCCGAAUCUCACUGGGAUUAGUUCGCCACCGUAGGGAGUUGCCGGGACUGGUUCGUCACCUCUGCGACCUGGCGACCUGACGAUCUGCUACCACGCAUUCUACUCCUCCCCAGGUCAACUUUACACUCCCUUUGCCUAAUCCUCUUAAUCAAUAUAUAUGAUCGAUCCAGCCUGCUUGCUUGCGCUGAUUCCAUAUUUGUUGUUCUACUCCUCUGCUGAAGCCAUCAGCAGACACAAUUUGGUACACUACUACUUAAAUCCCUAUUAUAUGCAUAUAUACAUAUCUGUUCUAGCCCCUGAUCUCUAUUCUUGACUUGCUGCUCAUUAUGAGUUUCACAUGAUUGGUAGGAAGGAAAGAAAAAAGGGAGUGCAGGCUAGAAUGCUAGAUUAUUCAGUACUAAAGUUUAAACAUCACCGUCCAGCAUUUGUGCCCCUCACCAAUAGCCUGCUACGAUGGCCCACUAGAUGCCAUGGCCGCAUGUGUUGUUCAUGCUGGUGGCAGCGAUGGUGGCAUCCAGGCCCACAUCAAGGCCUGCGCCACGCUGGGAGCAAUCUGCUCCUCCGUUGUCACCGCACAUAACACCAUAGUCGUUCAGGUAUGCUGCUGAAUUUCUUCCUUUUCAGUUUGCUCUCUUCGGCUGAUCGGCUCCUAUGCGGGCUUCUGAGAUAAGGAGGAGAAGAAAUGAUUAGGCUGACGCCAGUAAAAUUUCUCUCUUUAACAAAAGCGUUCUAUGUGCUUGGUAAAAUUUUUAGUGGCAAAUCUAAGUUUAUUCUCAAAUACAUUUGUUCCUGCAACUUUUUUAAUUAUAAUGUCGUAUAACUUUUAUGCCAGCUAACUUCUGCGUAAAAAACUUUUCACUAAUAAUGAUAAAAUAUUGAAGAUGACAGUGCACCAUCUAUGUCAACUACCAGAAAUGUACAGGUUAAAGAUGUGUACAUCAUCCUUCAUAAUGAAAUCCUGAUGUACAUCGGUACAUAUAUAUGCCAAUUGUUUCUGGAAUCUUAACAAAUUGGUCUACAAGAAUAUAUACUUAAAAAAACCUUUUUUUAUUAUUAUCAAUUACGCUCAUUCAGGAUUGUAGAUAAAUGUAUAUGAUAUAGUACUACAUGGCAGAUGUGAUUUUUUCCCCAAGAUAUAUACUUCAAAAAUAUAAAAAGUUAGUUGGAGAGUUCAAGUUUUGAUGUUCUUUGCUUAGUUGUCAUUUUCCUGUAAAUGUUAAUGAGUGAAUUCUGAAGUAAUGUCAGUAUUCCUUCAUUGUACAAUACUGGUAAUAAUAUUUUGUGGGCAUGUCAAUGAGUUUUCUUGCUGUCACCUUUCUAUGCUUCUGUUUUUAGGUAUGGAUGUUUUCUUAUUGUCUUCUUUUGAUGAUAUAUGUGGUCUUCAUAUUUCUUAUCAGAUAAUUUAGGUUUAGUUCCACGAUAGCAUAUCAUGUUUAUGCUAUCAGAAGGUUUUGCCUCAAUUUCCUUCCUCUCCAACAAAUCAUAUUUUAUUUGUUAAUUCGUCGUGCGCUAAUUCAGUACACAUAAUGGUAACAUACGCAUUUGCAUUGAUGGUAUUCUUUGUCGACAAUCUUAUAUUGGCUAUUGUGAUGCAUACAUCAUCAGAAAUUCACUGUAAGCCUGACAAUCUUGGCAUAUUACCCUUAUAUUUGGAUCAUGCAGUUAAUUUUCUAUGAGACAAACCUCAGGGUCUUUACGGCUCAGUAUAGACAGAUAAUUGUGCCGAUAUUAAGGUAAUGAUAUGAUUUCAUGGUGCAGGUCUUUUAGCCUCCUAUCUGGAGGAAGCUCCAUUAUUCUACGAAUCAUAUUGUAACCAAUACAUUGGGUCAAUAUUGGGUCUAUAAGUCAAGGCAGUAAUCACAGAUUAUGUUGUACAUCUAGCGAACAAAUAUUUAUUUGGUUCGAUUGAAGAUUUCAGUAUUUGUGAACUUUACUAGACCGCAAUUACUACAUUUUUAAAAUCAGUGCUGGCCCUAUGUAUGUUAGCUAACAUUUUUCUUGUGCUAUAGUCAUUUCUAUAUCUGCUACUAUUGUUUAAUAUUUAAUGGAACAUUGAUUUCAUAGGUUAGCGUUGUUUGCAGGGUGUUUCAGUGACACUGAAACCAUGGUUGCCUGAGAGGAUUAAAGCCACAGGUACUUCUGAGUUGUAACCUGCAUAGUUCCAUUCUCGGUUGAUCUGUGUAGUCCAUACCGAUUAACAAUACAUAUGUGCUAUUCCAAAGAAUCCAACCCUUAGUAUCUCUAGCUAUACGUACUGUGUUAUUCUCUUUUCUGCUUUGAUCAUAAAGUAUUAUUUCAAUUUAUUUGUGUGUGACGAAGUGACAUGCACUUCAAACAAUUUUACAUGAGACAUGUCAUAUGUUCCAAUAGGGCACACUGGGGUGUAAUUUUUUCUUGACAAGCAUUAUUCCUACUUUCAUUUUUUUUUCAGCGCUGCAUUGUUUUGGAAUUUUCUAAUAACCCAUCCUUCCAAUUGAAUUUUUUCUUUGCAAAUAUACUUAUAGAGUUUUCAUUAUAAGCUGACUUCAAAAUAUGAUUUUAUAACUUUUUUAAUUCAUGAAAUGUUAUGUUUGCCCCUUCUCCAAAGCUACAGAGAUAUUUCAACACGGUUUCUUAUAUGAGUAUUUGUACUACCUACUAUAUACUCAUUGUGUAGCAAUAUAUGGAUGACAUCCAAACAUGCCCUGUAUUCUAUAGGGGAUACCUCAAAAUUCUGUGCCAUUAUGCAAAGGAGGUACCAAUCGUCUACUAAUCUGUUGUAAGUGAUGUACUGUUGUUUUUAUUAAGCUAAAGCACUAAAUUUUUCUUUGUGCUGCAGUGCUAUAGAUGAGAAAAGAUUCAAUUAGUUCAUGACGAAGGUAUCUAUGAGAAAAUGCUGCAAUUCUCAUAUCACCUAAUGAUUGUUGUUUUUUCUAACCUAUACUCCACAUUAUGUAAGAUCCAUUCUCCUCUGUCAUUGCUACUUUUUUGUAAGUGUACAUGAUUGUACAAACAAUUAUUUGAGCAAACAGAUUGUAUUCACAUUUAAAUCUUGGUGAUAGUCACAAUGUGUACAUGCAUAUGUGGGUAUGCUUCUGA
RNA transcript from Oryza sativa Japonica Group (Japanese rice), 3111 nucleotides. RefSeq lists it as uncharacterized. Lineage: Eukaryota; Viridiplantae; Streptophyta; Magnoliopsida; Poales; Poaceae. The record is from RefSeq and is a predicted model, not a curated record.